CGAGUUAUCUGAACCUUCGGGGGACGAUAACGGCGUCGAGCGGCGGACGGGUGAGUAAUGCCUAGGAAAUUGCCCUGAUGUGGGGGAUAACCAUUGGAAACGAUGGCUAAUACCGCAUAAUACCUACGGGUCAAAGAGGGGGACCUUCGGGCCUCUCGCGUCAGGAUAUGCCUAGGUGGGAUUAGCUAGUUGGUGAGGUAAUGGCUCACCAAGGCGACGAUCCCUAGCUGGUCUGAGAGGAUGAUCAGCCACACUGGAACUGAGACACGGUCCAGACUCCUACGGGAGGCAGCAGUGGGGAAUAUUGCACAAUGGGCGCAAGCCUGAUGCAGCCAUGCCGCGUGUGUGAAGAAGGCUUCGGGUUGUAAAGCACUUUCAGUCGUGAGGAAAGUGUAGUUAAUAGCUGCAUUAUUUGACGUUAGCGAC
Molecule: ribosomal RNA, 426 nt
Filed under: uncultured Vibrio sp.
Lineage: Bacteria; Pseudomonadati; Pseudomonadota; Gammaproteobacteria; Vibrionales; Vibrionaceae
Description: bacterial SSU rRNA
Rfam family: Bacterial small subunit ribosomal RNA
Source: RNAcentral